UUCCACGUCGUCGGUGCCGCAGCUAACGCAUUAAGUUCCCCGCCUGGGGAGUACGGCCGCAAGGCUAAAACUCAAAGGAAUUGACGGGGGCCCGCACAAGCAGCGGAGCAUGUGGCUUAAUUCGACG
This 127-nucleotide ribosomal RNA is filed under the name Streptomyces sp. FT05W. RNAcentral describes it as "partial 16S ribosomal RNA". It matches the Rfam family "Bacterial small subunit ribosomal RNA", at positions 830 to 956 of the family's 1533-position model. Lineage: Bacteria; Bacillati; Actinomycetota; Actinomycetes; Kitasatosporales; Streptomycetaceae. The record is from RNAcentral.